Molecule: ribosomal RNA, 506 nt
Filed under: uncultured bacterium
Lineage: Bacteria
Description: partial 16S ribosomal RNA
Rfam family: Bacterial small subunit ribosomal RNA
Source: RNAcentral
AGUGAACGCUGGCGGUAGGCCUAACACAUGCAAGUCGAACGGCAGCACAGAGGAGCUUGCUCCUUGGGUGGCGAGUGGCGGACGGGUGAGGAAUACAUCGGAAUCUACUCUGUCGUGGGGGAUAACGUAGGGAAACUUACGCUAAUACCGCAUACGACCUACGGGUGAAAGCAGGGGACCUUCGGGCCUUGCGCGAUUGAAUGAGCCGAUGUCGGAUUAGCUAGUUGGCGGGGUAAAGGCCCACCAAGGCGACGGUCCGUAGCUGGUCUGAGAGGAUGAUCAACCACACUGGAACUGAGACACGGUCCAGACUCCUACGGGAGGCAGCAGUGGGGAAUAUUGGACAAUGGGCGCAAGCCUGAUCCAGCCAUACCGCGUGGGUGAAGAAGGCCUUCGGGUUGUAAAGCCCUUUUGUUGGGAAAGAAAUCCAGCUGGCUAAUACCCGGUUGGGAUGACGGUACCCAAAGAAUAAGCACCGGCUAACUUCGUGCCAGCCGCCGCGGUAA